RNAcentral lists this non-coding RNA (187 nucleotides) under Anaerolineae bacterium. Lineage: Bacteria; Bacillati; Chloroflexota; Anaerolineae. The record is from RNAcentral.
GCCGGUGCAAUUCCGGCGCUGUCCCGCAACUGUGAAUUUAGUUAGGUAGUUGGAUAGUUACGUAGUUGGAUAGUUACGUAGUUAUGUAGUUGGAUAGUUAAAUAGUUGGGUAGUUUGAUGUUCAACUACCAAACUACCAAACUACAAAACUACAAAACUACCAAACUACCAAACUAAAUGAGUCAGG